CACGUAGGGGGCGAGCGUUGUCCGGAAUUACUGGGCGUAAAGGGCGUGUAGGCGGCCGAUCAAGUCAGGUGUGAAAAAUCAGGGCUUAACCCUGAUCGUGCACUUGAAACUGGUUGGCUUGAGUGCAGGAGAGGAAAGUGGAAUUCCCAGUGUAGCGGUGAAAUGCGUAGAUAUUGGGAGGAACACCAGUGGCGAAGGCGACUUUCUGGACUGCAACUGACGCUGAGGCGCGAAAGCUAGGGGAGCAAACAGGAUUAGAUACCCUGGUAGUCCUAGCCGUAAACGAUGGGUACUAGGUGUAGGGGGUUUAGACGCCCUCUGUGCCGCAGUUAACACAUUAAGUACCCCGCCUGGGGAGUACGGCCGCAAGGCUGAAACUCAAAGGAAUUGACGGGGGCCCGCACAAGCGGUGGAGCAUGUGGUUUAAUUCGAAGCAACGCGAAGAACCUUACCAAGGCUUGACAUAUAUCCGGCGGUUUAGGAAACUAAACUUUCUCUUCGGAGACGGAUAUACAGGUGGUGCAUGGUU
RNAcentral lists this ribosomal RNA (529 nucleotides) under uncultured bacterium. RNAcentral describes it as "bacterial SSU rRNA". It matches the Rfam family "Bacterial small subunit ribosomal RNA", at positions 524 to 1050 of the family's 1533-position model. The record is from RNAcentral.